Molecule: ribosomal RNA, 314 nt
Filed under: uncultured eukaryote
Lineage: Eukaryota
Description: partial 18S ribosomal RNA
Rfam family: Eukaryotic small subunit ribosomal RNA
Source: RNAcentral
CCCUUAGAUGUUCUGGGCCGCACGCGCGCUACACUGACGAAUGCAACGAGCUUAUAACCUUGGCCGAAAGGUCUGGGUAAUCUCCAAAUUUCGUCGUGAUGGGGAUAGAUUAUUGCAAUUAUUAAUCUUCAACGAGGAAUUCCUAGUAAACGCAAGUCAUCAACUUGCAUUGAUUACGUCCCUGCCCUUUGUACACACCGCCCGUCGCACCUACCGAUUGAAUGGUCCGGUGAAGCCUCCGGAUUGGCGCGCACCUCGGUGCCGCCGAGAAGUUGGCUAAACCUUACCAUUUAGAGGAAGGUGAAGUCGUAACA